AUGAGCCCUAUAGUCGACUUAACUCCUUCACUUUCAGGACUCUUAUGGAAAUGGAGGCAAGCGCCUACGUCAGGGGAGCGACGAUGUAUUCGAAAGAAUUACACCCUCCGGGAUAGAACUCUGACCCAAAUCCAUCAAGAAGAAAUAGUGUUUCUCUGGAGCGUCUCACCUCUUACUCUGUUCUGGUGCAGAUCGCUGAGCCCUCAACCCUCCUCCUUUGGCGAUAGCCCACAACGCCACAACCCUUCUGCCCUGUUUACACUCCACCUGGCGGCUCGCAACUUCGUGUUCACCAGCGCCGGGCAACUUUUAGAUGAACCUCGACUCUGAUGGAAUUCUUCAACGGCGCGUAAGCCGAUUAAUCCGGUAGCGAUUGGAAUAGUUGCCGACAGCAGAUCGUGCUCUAACUUCGCCCCAAAAAGUAAGAAGUCAUUAGUGGCAGGACUGAUUGCAUGAACUGCAUUUCCCAAUGAGAAACUAUCAAAUGUAACCCAUUUAUAAAAGCACGUACGUAGUAAUUCCUAUCUUCUUUGAUUACAUCGGAUAGCCGGGUCCCCGUGUACCGCAAACGAUCGAUUAGGUAUCGAAAAACUGACCCGGCGUCACACAGGAGUCUCGGAUUUCGGGACCUGGAAAAUGAUUAAAAGUGGCGCCAGCUCUCCCCCUUACAUUUACAUUACGACUCUAUGUACUCUGUGGAUUACCCCCGGUUUAUCCCCAUAGGCGUUCCCGCUAAGACUGAAACAUGGACGUAUUUCUACCAAACAGACCUAUGUGGAGGUGAGAAAUAUAUGAGGUGUGCUCUAGAAAGCUGCAUAAGAAGCAAUGUAAAAGUGGGUGUGAUUCCUUUUGAAGAAUUGGAAAAGCGGGAUUUUACAUUCUAUCAAACAGACCUAUGUGCCAACUGAAUGCGGGAUUCAUGAGCCGCGGGCGUAGCACGAGAGCGUUGUGGACAGGGCUCAUGAGUUAAAGCGUCCCGCCAACGAUCUCCCCGUCGUGGCGGCUCUCGUUCGUUGCCGCUGACGUCACUGCGGCGCUUUAUUAUUCUCAUUCACUCUUACGGACAGAGAACUAACGAGCACACCCCAUAUUUCUCACCUCCACAUAGGUCUGUUCGGUAGAAAUAUGUCCACACAUCCAACAUAACUGAGCGUUUUGUCAAUUUUGGA
Molecule: long non-coding RNA, 1169 nt
Filed under: Bemisia tabaci
Lineage: Eukaryota; Metazoa; Arthropoda; Insecta; Hemiptera; Aleyrodidae
Description: lncRNA ENSSSA1UGG001394
Source: RNAcentral